Myotis myotis is the source of this 163-nucleotide small nuclear RNA. RefSeq annotates it as U1 spliceosomal RNA. The transcript has a single exon. NCBI's taxonomy places the organism in Eukaryota, Metazoa, Chordata, Mammalia, Chiroptera, Vespertilionidae. The record is from RefSeq and is a predicted model, not a curated record.
CUACUUCCCUGGCAGGGGAGAUGCCAUGGCCACGAGGGUGGUUUUCCCAGAGCGAGGCUUAUCCGUUGCCCCGUGGAUGUGCUGACCCCUGCGAUGUCCCCACAUUUGGGAAACGGGGCUGCAUAAUUUGCAGUAGAGGGGACUGCGUUCGCGCUCUCCCCUG